UGGGGAAUAUUGCACAAUGGGCGCAAGCCUGAUGCAGCCAUGCCGCGUGUAUGAAGAAGGCCUUCGGGUUGUAAAGUACUUUCAGCGGGGAGGAAGGGAGUAAAGUUAAUACCUUUGCUCAUUGACGUUACCCGCAGAAGAAGCACCGGCUAACUCCAUGCCAGCAGCCGCGGUAAUACGGAGGGUGCAAGCGUUAAUCGGAAUUACUGGGCGUAAAGCGCACGCAGGCGGUUUGUUAAGUCAGAUGUGAAAUCCCCGGGCUCAACCUGGGAACUGCAUCUGAUACUGGCAAGCUUGAGUCUCGUAGAGGGGGGUAGAAUUCCAGGUGUAGCGGUGAAAUGCGUAGAGAUCUGGAGGAAUACCGGUGGCGAAGGCGGCCCCCUGGACGAAGACUGACGCUCAGGUGCGAAAGCGUGGGGAGCAAACAGG
Molecule: ribosomal RNA, 429 nt
Filed under: Chloroflexota bacterium
Lineage: Bacteria; Bacillati; Chloroflexota
Description: Chloroflexi bacterium partial 16S ribosomal RNA
Rfam family: Bacterial small subunit ribosomal RNA
Source: RNAcentral